UCGUAACAAGGUUUCCGUAGGUGAACCUGCGGAAGGAUCAUUACUGAUUUGCUUAAUUGCACCACAUGUGUUUUUCUUUGAAACAAACUUGCUUUGGCGGUGGGCCCAGCCUGCCGCCAGAGGUCUAAACUUACAACCAAUUUUUUAUCAACUUGUCACACCAGAUUAUUACUAAUAGUCAAAACUUUCAACAACGGAUCUCUUGGUUCUCGCAUCGAUGAAGAACGCAGCGAAAUGCGAUACGUAAUAUGAAUUGCAGAUAUUCGUGAAUCAUCGAAUCUUUGAACGCACAUUGCGCCCUCUGGUAUUCCGGAGGGCAUGCCUGUUUGAGCGUCGUUUCUCCCUCAAACCGCUGGGUUUGGUGUUGAGCAAUACGACUUGGGUUUGCUUGAAAGACGGUAGUGGUAAGGCGGGAUCGCUUUGACAAUGGCUUAGGUCUAACCAAAAACAUUGCUUGCGGCGGUAACGUCCACCACGUAUAUCUUCAAACUUUGACCUCAAAUCAGGUAGGACUACCCGCUGAACUUAAGCAUAUCAAUAAGGCGGAGGAA
Molecule: unclassified non-coding RNA, 551 nt
Filed under: Candida albicans
Lineage: Eukaryota; Fungi; Ascomycota; Pichiomycetes; Serinales; Debaryomycetaceae
Description: sequence contains 18S rRNA gene, ITS1, 5.8S rRNA gene, ITS2, 28S rRNA gene
Rfam family: 5.8S ribosomal RNA (bases 183-336)
Source: RNAcentral